AAGGGACUCCGUUGACACCAGAGAGAGGCUGCUGGGUGACCAGAUGAUGCCAGCAAGACCUCCUCUUCCAUCUAUUCCUGGUGGUGAAGGAGAAGCAACGGCUGUGGAAGCAGCUCAGGGUCCAGUGUGCUUUGAAGACGUCGCUGUUCAUUUCACAGAUGAGG
Molecule: non-coding RNA, 164 nt
Organism: Podarcis muralis (Common wall lizard)
Lineage: Eukaryota; Metazoa; Chordata; Lepidosauria; Squamata; Lacertidae
Source: RefSeq, a predicted model, not a curated record